AGUGGGGAAUAUUGCGCAAUGGAGGAAACUCUGACGCAGCCAUGCCGCGUGAGUGAAGAAGGCCUUCGGGUUGUAAAACUCUUUCAACGGUGAAGAUGAUGACGGUAACCGUAGAAGAAGCACCGGCUAACUUCGUGCCAGCAGCCGCGGUAAUACGAAGGGUGCUAGCGUUGUUCGGAAUUACUGGGCGUAAAGGGCGUGUAGGCGGACAUAUCAGUCAGGGGUGAAAUCCCGGGGCUCAACCCCGGAACUGCCUUUGAUACUGUAUGUCUAGAAUCUGUGAGGGGAUAGUGGAAUAUCAAGUGUAGAGGUGAAAUUCGUAGAUAUUUGAUGGAACACCAGUGGCGAAAGCGACUAUCUGGCACAGUAUUGACGCUGAGGCGCGAAAGCGUGGGGAGCAAA
RNAcentral lists this ribosomal RNA (402 nucleotides) under uncultured Thalassospira sp. RNAcentral's name for it is "bacterial SSU rRNA". It matches the Rfam family "Bacterial small subunit ribosomal RNA", at positions 353 to 772 of the family's 1533-position model. The record is from RNAcentral. Lineage: Bacteria; Pseudomonadati; Pseudomonadota; Alphaproteobacteria; Rhodospirillales; Thalassospiraceae.